GAUGAACGCUGGCGGCGUGCCUAAUACAUGCAAGUCGAGCGAACAGACGAUGAGCUUGCUCCUCUGACGUUAGCGGCGGACGGGUGAGUAACACGUGGAUAACCUACCUAUAAGACUGGGAUAACUUCGGGAAACCGGAGCUAAUACCGGAUAAUAUAUUGAACCGCAUUGUUCAAUAGUGAAAGACGGUUUUGCUGUCACUUAUAGAUGGAUCCGCGCCGCAUUAGCUAGUUGGUAAGGUAACGGCUUACCAAGGCAACGAUGCGUAGCCGACCUGAGAGGGUGAUCGGCCACACUGGAACUGAGACACGGUCCAGACUCCUACGGGAGGCAGCAGUAGGGAAUCUUCCGCAAUGGGCGAAAGCCUGACGGAGCAACGCCGCGUGAGUGAUGAAGGUCUUCGGAUCGUAAAACUCUGUUAUUAGGGAAGAACAAAUGUGUAAGUAACUAUGCACGUCUUGACGGUACCUAAUCAGAAAGCCACGGCUAACUACGUG
RNAcentral lists this ribosomal RNA (497 nucleotides) under uncultured bacterium. RNAcentral describes it as "partial 16S ribosomal RNA". It matches the Rfam family "Bacterial small subunit ribosomal RNA", at positions 28 to 507 of the family's 1533-position model. The record is from RNAcentral.